AUGCUCCUAGUGUUGUGUUAAGUGUUGGCAGAUAGCCGGGUGGGCCGAAAGGCGCCCCGGCAUUGAACCCCCGGACCUUCCUCCUCCCCCACGUGAAGGCCGGGGCUUUUUUUCGCCUGCGC
RNAcentral lists this small RNA (122 nucleotides) under Pseudomonas sp. URIL14HWK12:I10. RNAcentral's name for it is "Pseudomon-1 RNA". It matches the Rfam family "Pseudomon-1/ErsA RNA". From Rfam's summary of the family: Functions to regulate the AlgC enzyme. Based on this information, the new name ErsA for the RNA was adopted. Negatively regulates major porin oprD expression responsible for uptake of carbapenem antibiotics, by base pairing with oprD 5'UTR (leading to increased bacterial resistance to meropenem). The record is from RNAcentral. RNAcentral also lists the same sequence under 3 other names. Lineage: Bacteria; Pseudomonadati; Pseudomonadota; Gammaproteobacteria; Pseudomonadales; Pseudomonadaceae.